CAUCUUUAGGUCUUGAUUGGCUCCUUGUCUUGGAUUUGAAUUUUCCAUGGCUUUUGUUGCAUUAUAUAGUCCUUCCUUUGUCUUUUUGAGUGACCAAGGAAGAAUCAGAGUUUUCUUUGAAUUUUUUCUUUCUGAUAUCUUCAUUGAGAAUCAGGUUCCGAACCUCUUCAAAUUUUAGCUUGCUUGAGCCACAAGAACAACUCACUGCUGUCAC
This 214-nucleotide long non-coding RNA is filed under the name Elaeis guineensis (African oil palm). RNAcentral's name for it is "long non-coding RNA (EGUI_LNC073863)". The record is from RNAcentral. Lineage: Eukaryota; Viridiplantae; Streptophyta; Magnoliopsida; Arecales; Arecaceae.